CGCCCGGCCCACACCCAGAGGCCGCCCCGGAGGCCGCCGCCGGCCGCCAGAUCUGAACAGAAGUGAGAAGAAAGCUUCCACAAUCAUAGCAGAUGAAGAUCCACUGGUAAAUCAAACAGGAUUUUUGGCCUGCCCGCCAAAGAAAAGGUGUCCUUUGAAAGCAUAAAAGUUUAAUAAUUUUGGUGAACUCCACUUCAUCAAUUUGGCUCUGCUUUUUAAGAAAUACUUGGUAAGUUGGAUUCCAGCCUACUAAACAUCCACUUGUGAUUGGUGCUCAGCCACCACUGCCCCCAGAAACCAUUUGGAAAAAUCCUAUUGUAAAAAAAUCCUUUGAAAAAUACUGUUUUCUGAAGUGGAGAGGGGCAAGAAACUGAAAAGCAGCCAAGGUAGAUUUCUUACUAGUAACAGCUUUGUUAUGGUUCACCUUUUCUGUUCCUAAGUUCCUUCACUUUGAGCAGUUUGCAGGGGAGGACAAUGUGGCAGAGAGUGAGGAUCAAGGCCUCUGGGUCCUGCAGAUUUUAUGAUGAUCAAAACAGAGGCUAAUUAGGUUAAAAUGAAAGGUCAGAUAUUUUACCUUGAGUCAUAGAUGGUGCUGUUUCAAAUCAGAAUGUUUGUGGGAAUGUAGUAGUUGUUUCUGGGAGGAAAGGUCUGGGGAUCAUCACAUCAAGAAAGUCGUUUGGAUUAAGGUCUCCCCUUUUAUAUCAGAAAAUAUGUGUUUGGGUUGGGGGUUGAAGACAGG
Manis javanica (Malayan pangolin) is the source of this 739-nucleotide non-coding RNA. The record is from RefSeq and is a predicted model, not a curated record. Lineage: Eukaryota; Metazoa; Chordata; Mammalia; Pholidota; Manidae.